AGGCCGAAAGGCGUAGUCGAUGGACAACAGGUUGAUAUUCCUGUACCACCUCUUUAUCGUUUGAGCAAUGGAGGGACGCAGAAGGAUAGAAGAAGCGUGCGAUUGGUUGUGCACGUCCAAGCAAUUAGGCUGAUAAGUAGGCAAAUCCGCUUAUCGUGAAGGCUGAGUUGUGAUGGGGAAGCUCCUUAUGGAGCGAAGUCUUUGAUUCCCCGCUGCCAAGAAAAGCUUCUAGCGAGAUAAAAGGUGCCUGUACCGCAAACCGACACAGGUAGGCGAGGAGAGAAUCCUAAGGUGUGCGAGAGAACUCUGGUUAAGGAACUCGGCAAAAUGACCCCGUAACUUCGGGAGAAGGGGUGCUUUCUUAACGGAAAGCCGCAGUGAAUAGGCCCAAGCGACUGUUUAGCAAAAACACAGCUCUCUGCGAAGCCGUAAGGCGAAGUAUAGGGGGUGACACCUGCCCGGUGCUGGAAGGUUAAGGAGAGGGGUUAGCGUAAGCGAAGCUCUGAACUGAAGCCCCAGUAAACGGCGGCCGUAACAAUAACGGUCCUAAGGUAGCGAAAUUCCUUGUCGGGUAAGUUCCGACCCGCACGAAAGGUGUAACGAUUUGGGCACUGUCUCAACCAGAGACUCGGUGAAAUUAUAGUACCUGUGAAGAUGCAGGUUACCCGCGACAGGACGGAAAGACCCCGUGGAGCUUUACUGUAGCCUGAUAUUGAAUUUUGGUACAGUUUGUACAGGAUAGGCGGGAGCCUUUGAAACCGGAGCGCUAGCUUCGGUGGAGGCGCUGGUGGGAUACCGCCCUGACUGUAUUGAAAUUCUAACCUACGGGUCUUAUCGACCCGGGAGACAGUGUCAGGUGGGCAGUUUGACUGGGGCGGUCGCCUCCUAAAGUGUAACGGAGGCGCCCAAAGGUUCCCUCAGAAUGGUUGGAAAUCAUUCGUAGAGUGCAAAGGCAUAAGGGAGCUUGACUGCGAGACCUACAAGUCGAGCAGGGACGAAAGUCGGGCUUAGUGAUCCGGUGGUUCCGCAUGGAAGGGCCAUCGCUCAACGGAUAAAAGCUACCCCGGGGAUAACAGGCUUAUCUCCCCCAAGAGUUCACAUCGACGGGGAGGUUUGGCACCUCGAUGUCGGCUCGUCGCAUCCUGGGGCUGUAGUCGGUCCCAAGGGUUGGGCUGUUCGCCCAUUAAAGCGGCACGCGAGCUGGGUUCAGAACGUCGUGAGACAGUUCGGUCCCUAUCCGUCGCGGGCGUAGGAAAUUUGAGAGGAUCUGUCCUUAGUACGAGAGGACCGGGAUGGACCUACCGCUGGUGUACCAGUUGUCUUGCCAAAGGCACGGCUGGAUAGCUAUGUAGGGCAGGGAUAAGCGCUGAAAGCAUCUAAGUGCGAAGCCCCCCUCAAGAUGAGAUUUCCCAUUCUUUAAGAAAUAAGAGCCCUGAGAGAAGAUCAGGUAGAUAGGCUGGAAGUGGAAGUGCUGUGAGGCAUGGAGCGAACCAGUACUAAUGGCUCGAGG
This 1510-nucleotide ribosomal RNA is filed under the name Termitomyces sp. MTP_Mn156. Its description in RNAcentral is "bacterial LSU rRNA". It matches the Rfam family "Bacterial large subunit ribosomal RNA", at positions 1399 to 2912 of the family's 2925-position model. The record is from RNAcentral. Lineage: Eukaryota; Fungi; Basidiomycota; Agaricomycetes; Agaricales; Lyophyllaceae.